GGAUAUAGCUCAGUUGGUAGAGUGCUUGCCUUGCAUGUACUAGGCCCUGGGUUCAAUCCCCAGCACCA
RNAcentral lists this transfer RNA (68 nucleotides) under Marmota monax (woodchuck). RNAcentral's name for it is "tRNA.Ala". The stretch from base 6 to 63 matches the Rfam family "tRNA", at positions 8 to 63 of the family's 71-position model. From Rfam's summary of the family: Transfer RNA (tRNA) molecules are approximately 80 nucleotides in length. Their secondary structure includes four short double-helical elements and three loops (D, anti-codon, and T loops). Lineage: Eukaryota; Metazoa; Chordata; Mammalia; Rodentia; Sciuridae. The record is from RNAcentral.